This is an RNA transcript of Equus caballus (horse), 7798 nucleotides long. It is a transcript of the gene named FA complementation group B, with no coding region annotated. The record is from RefSeq and is a predicted model, not a curated record. NCBI's taxonomy places the organism in Eukaryota, Metazoa, Chordata, Mammalia, Perissodactyla, Equidae.
UGGGAUAGCCUGCGUCUGAGAGAGCUCAGCCUGCGGUUCGCUUUCACAACGUUCCCUGUGGCCCCGCCUUCUCAACCUCCCUUGGCAACCGUCUCCUGGCAGGCUCGGUGGGCUCCGCCUCCUCUGCGCUCGUUGCAGCCUCCGGCCCCGCCCUCCCAGGAUGCAGCGCGCGGGCGGGAGGUUUGGAGACCCGAGACGCUGCGGCUGCGUGGGGCCUCGGGAGUCUAGCGGGUGCUGGACGGAGGGCCUCCGCGUGCCGAGGUUUAAAAGCGUCAACCAGAAUCAAUUUGCAGUCGAAAAUUGGACCAACACAAAGACUUCAUAUUGUGGAAUGACUAGCAAACAAGCAAUGUCAUCUAAUGAACAAGAAAGGCUCUUGUGUUAUAAUGGGGAAGUCCUUGUUUUUCGAUUGUCUAAAGGAAAUUUUGCUGAUGAAGGACCUGCAGAAAUACCCGUAUUACAUGUCAGAAGAAUGGUAUUUGACAGAGGGACAAGAGCAUUUGUUCAGAAGUCCACUGGAUUCUUUAGCAUAAAGGAAGAAAACUCGCAUUUAAAAAUUAUGUGUUGCAGCUGUGUGUCAGAUUUCAGAAAUGGAAUUAACCUCCCUUAUAUUGUGAUGCAAUGCAAUAAAAAGAAUAACGUUUUCAAAUAUCUUCUACUGUUUCUUCACAGUACCAAUAAAUUUGAAAAGCGUUUGAGUUUUAAACUAGGCCAUGAAUUGCUGGAUGGCGUAAGGGUCCUUAAUGGCCCUUUAGUUUUAUGGAGAUAUGACAAAACAUUCUUCUGUAUCUCUCCCGAAACUCACAAAGUUAUUACUCUGUCUGUUAACUUUUCCUCUAUUGAGUGGGCAGGGGAGAUUGCAAAUCUAGGUAUGGUUUUAUUAGGACCAAGGAGAUGUUCAAACCGAAAGCCUUCAAAAUCGGAUUAUGCAUUUCAGAAUACCAAAUUUUGUGUAUACUCUCUUGAAAAUGAAGAAGUAAUAAGUGAUACAUAUAUCAUCCCUCCUGCUUAUAGCAGUGUGGUAACGUGUGUGCAUGUGUAUGCAGCUGAGAUGGUCAACAACCAGUUAAGAAUGUCUCUGAUUGUCCUUACUCAGAAGAAUCAGCUGAUUUCAUUCCAAAAUGGAACUCCUAAAAGUGUGUGCCAACUUCCAUUUGGAGAUCCUUGUGCAGUUCAACUGAUGGAUUCCACUGGAGGAGACCUCCUUUUUGUUGUAUCCUUUAGGUCCAAUGAUGCUUGUGCUGUUUGGGAAAAGAACUUUCAGGUUGCUGCUAAAUGGCAAAAAGUUAGCUUGGUACUCAUAGAUGACUUUAUUGGAAUUGGAACUGAACAAGUACUGCUACUUUUUAAGGACUCCUUGAAUUCAGAUAGUCUGAGUUCAUUUAAAAUAACAAAUCUUCGCAGCAUAAACUAUUCAACUGAAACAUCAGAUUGCUAUGAAGAGGACUUAUUUGAAGACAUACAAGAUAAUCGUUAUUUGGUGGUUCCACCUCUGAAAAGGGGAUUGAAAGUUGGUUUCAUUUCUAUUCAGGAAUUACAGCGGCAUCUCUUGCUUAAGGAAAAAAUGAUUUCAAAAUCUUACAAAGCUUUAAUAAACCUGGUUCAAGGGAAAGAUGAUAGUACAUCAAGUGCAGAGGAGGAAUGUCUUUUUACUCUUUGUGGUGAAGAAGAAAAUCCUGUCCAUACCUUUGAUGAAAAGUUAUCAGACAAUUUUCAAGAUUCAGAACAGCUAGUAGAGAAGAUAUGGUAUCGUGUAGUAGAUGAUAGCUUGGUUGUUGGAGUGAAAAUCACAUCUUCUUUGAAGUUGUCCCUGGAUCAGGUGACUUUAUCGCUGUUGAUGGAUCAAGCCCAUAGCUCCAGCAUUCAGCUUAUUAAGUGUCAAAAUAGGGUGAUCAAGUUGAGUAGGGAUUCUUUCCCAGCACCAUGCUCAGAGCCAUAUGAAAGAGGAUCAGAGGCAAAAAGGAUCAAGUUGACUGUUGAUAGUGAGGAAGAGAAAAGCUUUGUUUGCGAACAACCAUCUGAGAAAGAGUGUGUACAGAUAAUUACUGCUGUAACAUCUCUUUCACCACUGUUAGCAUUCAAUAAUUUUUGUUGUAUUCUGCUGCUACAAAUUAGGAAGAGAGAAAAUGGUAACUAUUUUGAAGAUCAUUAUAUUCAGUGUGGUAGACUUUUUAUAAGUCUAGAAGAUCUUUCAAGUGGGAAAUACCUAGUGAAAUUUCCAAAGAAGAAAACCAUCGAACACGUGGAAGAUCUCUGUGCACUUCUUGCAGCAUUGUACAAAACUUGUUUUCAAAUCACAUCACCCAACUGUGCUCUGACUUCAAUGAAGACGUGGCUCUUAGAACUUAUGAAAUGUGAAGUAAUCAAAGAAUUUCCAGAAAUUUGCUUUUGUAAAAUCCCAGGAAGUUUCUAUGGGACACUCUUCAGUUGGAAACAAAGAACACCAUUUGAAGGGAUUUUAGUAGUCUAUUCCAGGAAUCAAACAGUUUUGUUCCAGUGCCUUCAUAAUCUCAUCAGAGUUCUCCCUAUAAACUGUUUCUUCAAAAAUCUAAAAUUAGGAAGUGAGGAUUUCCUAAUUGAUCAAUUGGCAUUAACUUUGGAGAAGGAAUUGGUUACCCUUGGUUCUCUUUCUUCUGCCUUAGUUAAAGUUGAAAACAACUUGGUGCAGAGGUGUGAAGAAAACAAAGAAAAGAGUAGUGGUGUUGUGGCUACUUUAUCAGACAGAGAGGACAUCAUCCAUCUGUACAGAAAAGAACUUCAGAGAGAAAAGAAGCAAACACUGGAGAUGAACCUAAAACUCAAACCUGGCCCCCACUUCUGCAGACCAGCAGUGAAGAAGGGGACUAGCCUGUAUUCUGGACCUCGACUCACUCUGCUGUCCUGGCUGGCUCCUGAUAUAGAGACUAGAGGCAAAGAGCAAGCCCUUUGGAUUGGCUCUGGCACAGUCUAACUGUUGGUACCUCUGUCACGGCAGCAGGUGCCCAACUGUAGGCUCUUUAUCUCAUGGCUUGUUUGUAUGAGGUUUUGGGAGACCCUCCUGGAGGCCUUGGCAUUGCCACAUUCCAUAACCAAGACCACCACAACCAUGGGAGUGUAUGUUGGUAUGGAGAAACCAUAAAAUCUAAGUGGCAUGGAAAACUGCACCAGUACAUGGAGAAAAGCAAUCCUGCCCAGUCUCCCAGAUCUGCCAAAGACUUUGUAUGAGUAAGAAAUAAUCUUUUGUUGUGCCACACCACUGAGAAUUUUGAAAUUGUUACUGUAGCAUAUUCUAACUUAUCCUGACUAAUACAUCCAAGUUAAUUAGCAAGUACGCUGGAAUUCUUGAACCCCCAAAUUUCUGGGGUGUUGCUUCUGCCUUAGGAAUCAGGAUGUAUUAAUAUUUCGCAUACCUGUUCAUUCACACUGCUUUCUCAAAUUCUUAUUAGCAUGAGGUCCUAGAGAGUUUUAUAAAACUCCAGUGACUCUGCAGUAAGCACCAAAUGUUCUCACAUAUGGUUGUUGGGGCUGUGUGUGAAGGAAUUUUUAAGCUUUGGAAAUACAUUUUAUGUCUGAAAUGAUUUCUGUUGGUACUAAAAUAUGUCCUGAAUUGUGACAUGCCAGGCUGCAUGACUUUUACCUACUUAUUAUGCAAAUUCUAUUUUGUAAUAUAUAAUAGAAAUUUUAUUUAGUUUCUUGAAUUUCUAGAUUAGAAAUGGUGAAAAUUGUAGGAUAAUCGUAAUCAAUCUCUCUCUUCUCUUCCACACACUUCAUUCUCUCUUUCUCCAUAAUUGGAAUCAAAACCAUGUCAUUAUUUCUCUGACCUGUUGGAAACAAUAUACCUUUUUUUGUAAGUUAAGGGUCCAGAAACUGAAGACCAAUCUUUUCUUUUUGAGUUAUCAUCGGUACUCUUGUAACGUUACUUUAUGUCUACCACCCAAUGUGAUUUUUACCAUCCCUCUCUAUAAGUAUAUCUAUUUUAAUUUAUAUCUAACAUGUUUAUUACUGCAUUUAUUUACCUACCCAAAAGUAUUUAUUUACUUCAUAGCAAUUCUAUAACUUUAUUUUAUGAGCUAUAACUGUAACCCAAGAGUCAGCUGCUUGGAAAUCCCCAGUUCUUUCCGCCUUAUGGGAACUGCGUCUCCUUUCUCUCUGAUGUCAAGUAAACUGCCCUGAGACACAAUCCCUUAGGUGAUAGAAAAUCUAACAUGCUGACCAAACUGCCUAGGCAGUUCUGUGCAUCUGACUUUCUUGUGGUCAGUCCACACUGCGGCCUGUUUCCCUGUCACCUCCUGGACCCUGGUGGCUGUUGUCUUCUCUCCACACGAGCUGUGCUCUUUCCAUGACUACAUCACCUCUGGCUUGGAGCACUGCUCUGCACUAGCACACAGUGCCAUUGGGACAGAUUUUUAUGGAAGGUUUAGGGGAAAUAGAGGGGGAUCACGACUCAGAAUAGUCAAGACAAGCCAUAUAAAAUUGAAUCACUGGCACUCCAGUUCUCAAGAACCCCUUGGCCAUCCUCAUUACUAGGAAUUGCUCAGUGGACAUCUUCUCAGACCACAGCAUGUCACCAUGAUGCUGGCUCUCUUUCAUCUUCACACUCUGCUCAUAUAUCCCCUUCCCUCCUUUCUCAGAGCCCUUACCACUCCCUCUCUAACAAACUCUCCUCACCGCACUCCUUUGAAACCCGAAAUUCCCCUUACUCUAGUAUGUACUACAGUUUGACUUUCCCAAUCUUUAGCUCAACCCUGUCCUGCUUUUUCAUUUUAUAAACUUCAACCAGAAAUUCUGCCAAACAAAUUCCAUCUACUCUGGGUAGACAUCCUUUAGAAACAUGCUUUCAGGUUAGUGUUUUCCUUAAUCUAUCACAUUGUUAGGAAUGGGAGUUCCUAAUUUCUAGAACAAGGAAGAAGCAAUAUAAAGUAUCAAGGCAUUUGAGAAGCAUAAGAAGGAGUAGACAACUUUGUGGGUAGGAGGAGUAGCAUGUGAAAGUAUAGGAGAGUUGUUGAGUUGCAGUCAACAGGAUCAGAGUGGUCAGAAUGGGCCAUGUAAUGGAGGCUCUUGGGAAGUAUCACGUGGGCAGAAGGAAGCUACUGAAAGAUGUAAAGGAGCAGAAUGUCACGCUCAAAACUACGUUUUAGAAAGACCACUCUGGUUUCAGCCAGAGUGGAGUCAGAGAGAAAGUUAUAAGACUUUUACUCCAAGAGGAGAUUUAAAAUGCCUGGGCUGAGGCAGGGCAAGGGUAAUGGAGCAAAAUGGAUUUGAGAGCUGUUAAGAAGGUGGGAUUGAAGGGGCUUGGCAGAUGGAUGAGCAGAUGAGUCAGUGAGAGGAUGAACCUGGCUUGAGCAGUUGAAGGAGCAAUGGUGCACUCUCUGAGAUAAGGGAACAAGGAAAGAGGAUCAUUUUGUAGUGGAGGUAGAGGAAACCAUGGAUUCAGUUAUACCCAUGCUUAGUUUGAGGUAUCAAUGAUGCCCCCUUGAAGCUGUCAAGUAGGCAGCUGUAGACCCACAGACACCAGCACCAACAGAUUUAGCAUGCUUGGUUUUGAAUGUUCUUGAGGAUCUUGACAUCACUAAAGCACAAACGUAAAUUAAGAGAUGAAAAAUUGGUGUUUAAGAGUGAAUCAUGUAGCCUAUGAGUGAGACUCACACAUCUACUUUUUUGGGAAUCAGGAUAAUUCAGGAAGGGUGGGGGCUCAGAGACACAAGGGAGAAGUCUCUAGUAGGAUGAGAAGGAGGAGAUGAUAAGUACAAUUUAAGCAUGUGGAGUUUGAGUGGGCAGAGUGACAUAUAAAAGCCACUAAAAAGUCAGGACUGGAACUGUAGAUUAGGGAAACAUAAAUCUACUCCAUUUUGCCAAACCUCAGCCUUUGAUUUCUUAGUUCUGUUAAAUGGGGUGGAGCUGAGAAGCAGCCCUAACGUUUUGAGUUUGCUCUACUUUCUACAAGGUACCCUGUCAAAAUUGGCAGAGGCAGGUAGCUCUUUAACAAUCUGCAAAGAGAUUGAGAUGAGUAAUGAAUUUGGAAAAGAGGAUGAAAUCUAACUGACAUCAGCAGAAUUAUAUCUUUAUAUCUACAUGAUGUGGAUGAAAAACAAGCAUGGGUAUUUGAAGCCAGAAAUGUGCUAAAUUUUCACCUCUGACUCUUUAAUUUUUCUUAUUUUAAUUUUACUGAUGUCUACACAAUGCGCCCCCCUCCAAAAAAAACUUGGCAGGAGUUUCUUCUCCUCCUUAACACUCCUUCACCUCUCCUGCCCCCACCCGAUGUACACACACCUGAAGAGUUAUUACUAGGUAAUCUAACUCAGAAAGACAUUUCAAAAUGUAAUUUCUUCAUUAGUGAAGAAACACGUGGUGAUCAUUUUAAAAUAUUGAGUGACGAAAGGAAUUCCUGAAGUCUUUAAGACAUAGAUUAAACUGGAGUCUUGUCCUGCAAUAAUAUUUGCUGGCGCCAAGUUUAUUGCUGAAAUCCAAGAAACAUCUCUGCUUCACCCCAGCACCAUACAUGCCUGCAGCUAAUUGACAGACAGGCCUUGAAAUCCUUGGGUGAUCUGCACACCUUGUCCCUCGGAAUAAAAGUCACUCCCUUUAGGAGAGCUUCAGCCUGAAUGGUUCAUAACCAAAUCCUUUUGGUUUAUACCAAACAGUAGGUUUCUUGGAGUCAGAGACAAAUUUGUGAGAUCAGGACAGGGCAUGACCUGACUGACUCUUUUCCACCAGUGCAAACAUCUUGGUUCUCAAAAUGAAGAAUGGUUGCCGUAUACUGGAAUGAAGAGAAUUUAUUCAAGUCUCAGCAGUACCUAGAUCUGAAGACACCAGCAUUGGUGCCCUACUUUUUCCAGAAUUUCUUGUAUUUGGUACAUGCUGAGUCUUUCUUCUUCUGAAUAUUUUCCAAGGACCAUGGUAGAAACCACUGCCUAGUAAAGGAAAGGGUUGAUUGGCUGAAGGCCUGUACAUUUCUUGGGUUGUUUGAUUGUCCUUCAGCUUAGAAAACAAAAGAAAGAGAGUACCAGACCCGAUUAUCUAACAUCCUAAUUCACCCGGAUGUCCUACAGGCACGUUAAUUCAGUUUCACCCAAACUGAACUAAUUCUCUCCCACAGAGUUGCUUCUGCUCCCACAUUCCUGUCCUAAUUGAUAGUACCACCACCCACGUAGACACCCAAUUGAGAAGGAUGGGAGUUAUCUAAGACAUCUCCUGCUUCUUCACUAGUCUCCAGAUUUUCUUGAUUCUAUCUCUUCAAUGUCUUGUUUCCAUUCUCUCCUCUGCUUUCCCACCACUUUAAUUAAAGUCCCCACCAUGUCUUACCUGGUCUAUGGUAAUAGUGUUCUUUCGAACUUUCCUGCCUCCAAAUAGCUUACCAUCCCUGAUCUCAGCAAGUGGCCUUGUCUUCCUUACAAAAUGACCCUUCUGUGUUGCAAAUCUGAUUUUUUGUUUUUACAGCUUAAGACUGCUCAUUGAUUUUCCAUGACUACAGGAUGAUGCCCAAACUCUUUAGUGUAACCUCCAAGGGUUUCCCUCUAUGACCUGAUCUCUGCCUUCCCUCCUUACCCUAUGGUCAACAUUCUGCCAUGUGACACCAUGUUUCAGCUGUAUCAUAUGAUGCUAUGCCAUCCUAUAAUAUGCCAAGGUCCAUGGACGUGCUACAUGUACCCUGCGUAUUCCCUUCUCUCUGCCUGGAACGUCCCUCCUCCUCUCUGACUGGGAAACUCCUAGUUAUCUUUUAAGAACAUCUUAUUCUUAGUAGCAGCUAUCCUGUUUUUUUUAACCACACCUUCACCAAAGCACUUACAACAUUGCUUUGCAAUGAUGUUAUCUUUUUUUU